This 73-nucleotide transfer RNA is filed under the name Stegodyphus mimosarum. It matches the Rfam family "tRNA". From Rfam's summary of the family: Transfer RNA (tRNA) molecules are approximately 80 nucleotides in length. Their secondary structure includes four short double-helical elements and three loops (D, anti-codon, and T loops). Further hydrogen bonds mediate the characteristic L-shaped molecular structure. tRNAs have two regions of fundamental functional importance: the anti-codon, which is responsible for specific mRNA codon recognition, and the 3' end, to which the tRNAs corresponding amino acid is attached (by aminoacyl-tRNA synthetases). tRNAs cope with the degeneracy of the genetic code in two manners: having more than one tRNA (with a specific anti-codon) for a particular amino acid; and 'wobble' base-pairing, i.e. permitting non-standard base-pairing at the 3rd anti-codon position. The record is from Rfam by way of RNAcentral. Lineage: Eukaryota; Metazoa; Arthropoda; Arachnida; Araneae; Eresidae.
GACUUCGUGGUGUAGCGGUCAGCACGCUCGACGCGUAUUCGAGAGGUCCGUAGUUCGAAUCCCGGCGAAGGCG